GAUGAAGAACGUAGCGAAAUGCGAUAAGUAAUGUGAAUUGCAGAAUUCCGUGAAUCAUCGAAUCUUUGAACGCACAUUGCGCCCCCUGGCAUUCCGGGGGGCAUGCCUGUCCGAGCGUCAUUUCUGCCCUCAAGCACGGCUUGUGUGUUGGGUGUGGUCCCCCCGGGGACCUGCCCGAAAGGCAGCGGCGACGUCCGUCUGGUCCUCGAGCGUAUGGGGCUCUGUCACUCGCUCGGGAAGGACCUGCGGGGGUUGGUCACCACUAUAUUUUACCACGGUUGACCUCGGAUCAGGUAGGAGUUACCCGCUGAACUUAAGCAUAUCAUAAGCGGAGGA
Molecule: unclassified non-coding RNA, 336 nt
Filed under: soil metagenome
Description: partial contains 5.8S ribosomal RNA, internal transcribed spacer 2, and large subunit ribosomal RNA
Rfam family: 5.8S ribosomal RNA (bases 1-120)
Source: RNAcentral